RNAcentral lists this long non-coding RNA (247 nucleotides) under Micromonas commoda. RNAcentral's name for it is "long non-coding RNA (MCOM_LNC000132)". Lineage: Eukaryota; Viridiplantae; Chlorophyta; Mamiellophyceae; Mamiellales; Mamiellaceae. The record is from RNAcentral.
GGCGGCGGCGGCGCGGCGACGCUCGAGAGGACCAGCUUCACCACCGGCCAGGCUGUCCAGCAAACGAGCAAGGCUCGCCUCGCGGACGGCGGCGGCAACGGCGGCAACGGCGGCGGCAUCAAGAACGGAGGCGGCGGCGGCGACGGCGACGAGGGCGAUGACGAUGACUACUACGACGAGGGCGACGAAGACGGCGAGGGCGACAGCUUCAUCUCCACCCGCGCACCCCUCGAGGAGCGCUACGAUC